This 901-nucleotide ribosomal RNA is filed under the name uncultured Sphingobacteriia bacterium. RNAcentral's name for it is "bacterial SSU rRNA". It matches the Rfam family "Bacterial small subunit ribosomal RNA", at positions 58 to 952 of the family's 1533-position model. The record is from RNAcentral. Lineage: Bacteria; Pseudomonadati; Bacteroidota; Sphingobacteriia.
CAAGUCGUGGGGCAGCAGGUCUGUAGCAAUACAGACGCUGGCGACCGGCAAAUGGGUGCGGAACACGUACACAACCUUCCUUUAAGUGGGGAAUAGCCCAGAGAAAUUUGGAUUAAUACCCCGUGACAUUUUGAAGUGGCAUCACUUUAUAAUUAUAGCUACGGCGCUUAAUGAUGGGUGUGCGUCUGAUUAGGUAGUUGGCGGAGUAAUAGCCCACCAAGCCUACGAUCAGUAACUGGUGUGAGAGCACGACCAGUCACACGGGCACUGAGACACGGGCCCGACUCCUACGGGAGGCAGCAGUAAGGAAUAUUGGGCAAUGGACGCAAGUCUGACCCAGCCAUGCCGCGUGGAGGAUGAAGGUCCUCUGGAUUGUAAACUUCUUUUAUCUGGGAAGAAAUCCAUCUUUUCUUGGGUGGUUGACGGUACCAGAUGAAUAAGCACCGGCUAACUCCGUGCCAGCAGCCGCGGUAAUACGGAGGGUGCAAGCGUUAUCCGGAUUCACUGGGUUUAAAGGGUGCGUAGGUGGGCAGGUAAGUCAGUGGUGAAAUCCUGUAGCUUAACUACAGAACUGCCAUUGAUACUAUUUGUCUUGAAUACCCUGGAGGUGAGCGGAAUAUGUCAUGUAGCGGUGAAAUGCUUAGAUAUGACAUAGAACAUCUAUUGCGAAGGCAGCUCACUACGGGAAUAUUGACGCUGAGGCACGAAAGCGUGGGGAUCAAACAGGAUUAGAUACCCUGGUAGUCCACGCCCUAAACGAUGAUCACUCGACAUCAGCGAUACUCUGUUGGUGUCUGAGCGAAAGCAUUAAGUGAUCCACCUGGGAAGUACGAUCGCAAGAUUGAAACUCAAAGGAAUUGGCGGGGGUCCGCACAAGCGGUGGAAGCAUGUGGUUCAAUUC